RNAcentral lists this unclassified non-coding RNA (255 nucleotides) under Hevea brasiliensis (rubber tree). The record is from RNAcentral. Lineage: Eukaryota; Viridiplantae; Streptophyta; Magnoliopsida; Malpighiales; Euphorbiaceae.
ACUUUUGGAUUGCACAGUGAAGGUCAAAUUGACUUCUUUAACCUUUUCAAUUUUGAAUAUCUUUUCUGUGAUCUUGGCUAUAUAGGUUUCUUUUUAAGUGCUUAUUAGGUUACAUGUACGCAAAGUAUGAGGGCAGCUGUCCAUUCUGUGGCUUGGCUCUAGGACAAGUCAAAAUAAAAAUAAGAAAAAAAGAAAAGAGGUGAACGAGCUUUGCUAGUUAAAAUUGAAAUAAUGAGGAUAAAGGACUGAAAAUUA